RNAcentral lists this long non-coding RNA (903 nucleotides) under Bos indicus x Bos taurus (hybrid cattle). RNAcentral describes it as "lncRNA (ENSBIXG00005003455.1)". Lineage: Eukaryota; Metazoa; Chordata; Mammalia; Artiodactyla; Bovidae. The record is from RNAcentral.
GGUUCCCGCUGACGUGCUCAGAUCUCAGCAGACGGAUUUCCUGCGGGUCCGGCUGCCUCUAUUCGAGGGGCGCCAGGAGUCCCUUCUGUUCUCCUCGGGCUCGGAAGUAGAAAGGAUGGUGUCCGUGUGGAGGCGCUGUGUUUCAGGGGUGUGAGACACGGAUACAUCUGUGUGAGGAUCACAAAGCCGACAGAUUGGUGCCCGCUGUGGCGAGGUCGACCAGAUGGCCCGACAGGUUGUUGGGGAUCUUGGUUAACAUUUAUACUGUAAUGUAGGUAUUCAAUGAGAAAUCUUGACAUUAAUUAUAAUGAAAAUCACCAUUAUCAUUGUUACUCAACAAUAACGUAAUUAUUACCUUUGUUUGCAGUUAAUUUAAGAAACACUGUUUCAAGUUUAUCCACAGAGUAUCAAAUUGAAGACGACCAGAGAAGGUGUUGAAAUGAAGAACUUUCUUAACACACUGAGAAGUUGGGGAACCUCUCCUUCCAGCCACGAGGCCCUGCCCUGCAGCAACCGACCUGGAAAACCAGACCCCAGCCCCUGCAGCAAUGGGCUCCAGGAUUCAGUGCGUGGUAGCUCCAAUGAAAACUUCAAGUACAGGGGCUUCCCUGGUGGUCCAGUGGUUAAGAAUCUACUUGCAGGGCAGGGAACACUGGUUCAAUCUCUGGUCCCCAGAAGAUCCCACAUGCCACAGAGAAAUUAAGUCUGUACACUGCAAAGACUGAGCCCAGGCAUCCUAGAGCCCAGCGCUCCACAGCAAGAGGAGCCACCAAAGCGGGAAGCCCAACCACCCAACUAGAGCACAGGCCCUGCUCGCUACAAGUGGAGAGAGCCUGCAGGCAGCAAAGAAGACCCAGGGCAGCCAAAAAGAAAUAAAAUUAUGUGUAAACAAAAACCCCUUCA